RNAcentral lists this ribosomal RNA (245 nucleotides) under uncultured bacterium. RNAcentral describes it as "partial 16S ribosomal RNA". It matches the Rfam family "Bacterial small subunit ribosomal RNA", at positions 524 to 767 of the family's 1533-position model. The record is from RNAcentral.
UACGAGUGCCCCGAGCGUUAUCCGGAUUUAUUGGGCGUAAAGGGUCCGUAGGCGUUCUGUUAAGUUUUCUGUUAAAUCUCUUGAGCUCAACUUAAGAGCUGCAGAAAAAACUGGCGGAAUAGAGGACGUUAGAGGCUGAUAGAACACUUGGUGGAGGGGUGAAAUCCGUUGAUAUCAAGUGGAAUACCAAAUGCGAAGGCAAUCAGCUGGGGCGAUCCUGACGCUGAGGGACGAAAGUGUGGGAA